Taeniopygia guttata (zebra finch) is the source of this 8342-nucleotide non-coding RNA. NCBI's taxonomy places the organism in Eukaryota, Metazoa, Chordata, Aves, Passeriformes, Estrildidae. The record is from RefSeq and is a predicted model, not a curated record.
CCCUUACUACUGCUUUUGAUGAUGUGUCUGGUAGAUUUGGCUGUGUCAUGGGAAAUGUAAGUACAAGAUGAAGAAUCCAACAUAUUUGUGAUGGGGUAAUUGUCUUAAAACCAUAUUAAGCCCUCUUCAUCUUGAAACACUGCAGGAAUUAUUAUUACCUGUAGCUUUGCAGUCACCUGUGUUCCAUUUCUCACUGUGUGUUCAAACCCACCUGCUAUUUCAUAAUUAAAAAUCUGCCCGUGGUAUAAAACAGACAGAUGAAGGAGACUGACGUGCCCAAAAUCAGAAAAAUAGUUAGAAAGGCUGGGCAUGGGGUAAGAGAAACGUAUUUGAAUAACCUGGGCACUGUCACCAUUUAAAUCAUUGUGAAUGGUGACCUAUUUAGGAAGCAAAGUAAAACUUUUUCCUUAAUCAUCAAAGAAAAUUUCGUGUAAGACGUGAGCUUGUUGGAGCUGGUAAAAAUUCCUUAUUCUUGGCUGCACCUUCAGUAAGUGACUAGUUAAUAUUAUGCCUUUAACCAGAGACAAAUAAUCAAGGUCUGGCUACCUUGGUCUACUCAAGGUCUCUUUAAUGCCUCAAGCAUCACCCCUGGCUGUGUUUCUGCUCUUUGCCUGCAUUUUUGUUAGUCCCUACGUGCACUCCAGGGACAAGGGUGCUUGUGGGGCGGGUGCUUGUGUAUUGUUGAAGAUGUUUGUCCACUUUUACAAGCUCCUUUUUGACCUUACCCUGUUUUUCUCGCUAAAAAGAUCACGUACACAAUGAGCAGAGCUGUUGUAGAGCCACCUUUAUGCUUAUUCAGCAAACAUCCUGCCUGUUCCUGUGGUAGCAGGGCCACUUCACACUCUGUCCCCAGCAGAAAAAUGCAGGCAAACAAAGGAGCCUGACUUCUUCCAGGGGCUCUUGCAGGGUCUCUAACACAGAGCAGGGAUGAGAACAGGAGGCAGCCCCGUGGCACAGGGCACGGGAGUGGAGUGAGAAGAUGCAAAGCAGGAACCCGCUGCCAGGUGGGAGGAGAGGGAUGAGCUCAGGCACUGACAUGGCUUGUCCUGGCAGCCAUAGCUGGGGACAGCAGAAAGCAGCAGAGGUUGUGAGCAUCAGGUUUUGUGUCCAAGUCAAUUAGAGGUUUCAAUUUUUCAUAAUAAUUGAGAUUAAAAUAUUUUAUUUAUCUGCUUGAUGUUUUUGAAGUGUUCUCUCCUCAAUGACAUUGCCAAUGUCAGCACUUAAAUUUUCUGGGAACAGGCCGUAUAAUACCUAAUACAUUAUCCCCCGGGCCUGGAUUAGAGUGAUUUUGGCCAUUGAAAUGCUUCAUGCUUUAAAAUGAUAGCUACAUGUGAUAGGAGGUCUGUGCUUGUCUUCUCCAUGACUGCUCAGCAGGCAAGCUGCUCCCUGGAGUACUGAGGAGUUUUUCUACCCCUCCCUACUGGCAGCAGUGGAGUUCUCUGGUAUAUGAUGGCCUAAUUUUUGACCACGUGCAGAUGCUGUGAAGGGUUUGUUUGUAGCUUUGUGGCAAAUGUUUUACAGGGAUCUGUGACAGCAGGGACCAUCUCCCUUUGUAGAGGAGAAAUGAAAGCGCUCUCGUUAUCAAACACACACCAUGCUCUCACCGAGUGCAGGCUGCAGCUGCUGGGACAUCAAAAGGUGAUGAGUUUGCAUUAGACAAGUAAACUUGCAAUAGGAAUUCUCCCUCUCUAAGAUCCCUUCAUCCCUCAUGAUGCAAUCCUUUGGGCAAGGGCUGUCAUGUACUACAAGGCUGUGUAGCUUAUCACAACAGGACUCUGGCUCAGCUGAUGCCUCUAGAUACCACCAAGAAAUAAAUAUUAAUAACAUGGCAGCCUCCCUGCUUACUAUAUUCCUGCUUCCAGCCUCCUUAUUACUGAUCAUCUACAGCUGGAGAAAUGGAUGCAAAAUCAUCUUCUUUCAAAUAAGGCUGUGCUAAAAGUGGAAGGGGGCAAAAAAAAGGCAACUGAAAUAAUUGCAGGCAUAAGGGGGCUUUGAUUUGAGACAAUAUUAGGCAUUUAAUUCUCAGAGCAGACUACUAAACAAAAGUGUGAUGGAAGGAUGUAUACUAAUGAAUGGCACAGAGGUCAGCGGGGCUGACCCUGUGUGUUUGCAGUGUAUAAAAGGAAUGCCCAAUGAAACUUAAAGGUGACAGGUUUGAAAUAGAUAAAUUAGUUAUUUUUAUGCAGUGGAAAACUUAAUCUGUAAAUCUCAAUUCCACAAGAGGCUGUGUUGUUAUGAGAUACCCUUAAAACAGAACUGAUGAGUUUUUUACCCACCACUCUUACUAGAGCUAUUCAGUUCAUUUAAAAGGAUUUGAGCUUCAUCUCUUAGCUAGAAAUCAGAGGUGGCUGUGUUUCAGGAGCAAGCAAUUAAAAAAUCUUAUAAAACCUGAACUGAAGACUGUAUCAAGAACAUUUAACACUCAGAACUAUAUGUCUUACCCUUUUUUCUGCUAAGAGGUGCUAGGUAGGGUAAAGGUGGGUGAGCCGUGUUGAACCAUGUGUUCUGAAAGUUCUGGAGUGUUUAGUACUAAAUUAUUUCCAGUCACACAACGUCUUUGUGGCUGAGAAAAUGCAAAUAAUGAUCCAAUGAUAGUCACUGUAAUAUAGCAGUUUAUUAAACUUCAUCCCAUUAAUACAAUUAAAUCUGAGGUGAUGAUCACUGCACUGGGCACUGGGUAAGGCAAAAAAUUUGUCUUCUCAGACAUUGAUGCAAUAAAAUAGAAUCCUUUCUGUCCCUGGAGAUUUCUGAUGCAGUCAAAGAAAUCCAUGUUUAAACCAGUAAAGAACGUGGUCCUCUGGCUUAUUUUGAGUGAAGACUCUAACUGCAAUACUAGUGGAGUACUUACUUCUAAAGCUGUUAUAGAGAUAAAUUUUGGUCAAUGAGAUGUCUUCAGUCCCAUUGAAAUGUUUUCAUGGAAAGCUAUUUUUUUUUUCUAUUUUACUUAAUUUUUUUUAAGGGGGAGAUAGUCCCACAGGUGCUUAGGAAAAGAAAAGGACCAGAUCAAGAGGAGAAAGGUAAAAUGUCAUACAUCUCAACCAGUCCUUCUCAGUAUCAAACAUGGACAUCUCCUGAAUACAGAAGGCAACAGAAAUAACUCUGGUGUUUGUUUUACAAACAUCUAGUUUACACAGGGGAGGAGCCAGGGAGUUCAAUGUGCUGGCAUUUUUAGCCAUUUAAAUUUUCAAAUGCAGCUGAACAGUGAAUUUUGAUAAUUGGUCUCCCUAAUAUUCUUACUAAAUACAAAUUAAGUCAUUCAAAGGACUUGGGUUUGCACCUAAUUAUUAAAAUCACUGAAUUGAAAACCAGUUUUCACUCACAGUUUUGAACCUUUUGCUACACAUGAGUCAUGUCACCCAGAAAAGCCAUCCCACAGAGUAUUCAUCUAAUCCAUCUGGUAGUGCAAAUAGUGGAGAGACUCAAAAUAACAAGAAAAUUGUUUACAUUUCUGAAUUACUUUCUUGCCUCUUUAUAGCAGCUCAAACAUUUACACAAACUUGUUAAGCUGCUUAAGGAGAGGAUUAUUUGGGCAGGUAAUGCUUCUUUCAGUAAGUUAAGCUGUAAGGAAAGCAGAUGCUUGACUUCAAGGAAUUUGGAGAAAUUGCCUCUGGGAGAAAUUUAAAUAAAUUAAUAGAGAGCUUCUGCUCUCCUUCCUUCUCCGUCUUUAUUUUAGACAAGUUAUUCCCUCUCUGUGAAGAUGGGUCUGUGCAAUACGCACAAGGAAGUUGGUUAAUUAUGUAAAGCUGCACCAGGUAAAUGUUAUUUAGAGAUGGCUAAAAAACUUUGUAUUACACUCAUUUGCCAAGAAUAAUCUCCCUCAUUUCACAGCUGAUGAAGAGUUGUUUUUAAUUGUCAUUAAGGUAAGCUACAGAUUGUAUUCUCCUGCAUAUUUUUACCCAUUUUGACUGUUAUCUUUCCUUGCAUUUUUUAAUUGUAGCCCUGCAGGCACUGUGCACAUAAUUGAAGUAACCAAUCUGUUUUUGUUUAUCUAUGUUUUCCAUUAAUUAGAUAUGUGGAAUCUAAAUUUCCUGCUGCAAAACACAAGGUGACAUGCUAAGGGACCAAAUCUGCUUUUCCUCACCUGGCUGGACUGCCAGUGUUGGAGAAGAUACUUCCAGAGCAGGAGCACAGCAGUGUUUGUGUCUGGGCUGGACAGGGAGUGGAGGUGAGCAAGGGGCUCUGGAAAGGACUGGAGGAGGGAUGUGAGAGGCCCCAGCUUUUCCUUGGGAGUGAGGCUGAGCCUUCCUGUACCUUUGUUUGCUGCAGGCUGGGUGUUCAUGCCCCAGGAGUUUCACCUCCUGCCUGAGCUGGGCUCACAGCAGUGCUGAUGUGGCUCCUGGCUCCCUAUUUUCAGCCUGCCCACAAAUGACCACUAAUAAGAGAGGGAAUAGCCUGAGUUCUGGGUGUGCAGAAUGGCAGGUACGUGGAGAAUUCCAUAAAGGAAUGGGUCAGUAAAUACGAAGCUCAAAUGUAAAUCCAGAGACAAUCAUCAGGGAAAAAUCUUUGGAGCUAAAAGCAACUUAUUGCUGUUUUUUGAGGUUCUUCUGACACUUUGUUAUGGAUUGACAACAUUUUCCUACGUGCUUUGUGAGCUCAGGGUUUGCUGGUUUUUACUCAAAAGGAUAAAUAAAUGGUUCUUUGCAGCUAAAGGCCUCUUUUACCAGUAUAUAUAUGCCAUAAUUCCAUCAAAAUCCUGUAAGAGCCUCCCUGAUGUCAGACUGGCCUUACACACACAUUAAUGACUUACCAGGUACUAACUCCCUGCCCAGCCCACACCUUUUCCCUCUUGCCUCCCCUCUGUUGCUCAGUCAUUUUUCUUUGCUUGUUGCUUGCCUGCAGUGAUGGGUACGUGUCCUUUUCCUCACCUGGAGUCUGGCAGUAAAUCAUUCAUCUGCUUUUCUUUUUUUUCUUUUUACAUUCUGGAGCAUCUACUCUGAUUAUUUUGAAGCAGAAAAAAGACCAAUAAAUGAGGAGAAUCCUGAAGGUAAGUACUUCAGUGAGGACUUAAUGUCAAGGUACAGUACACAUAGAAGCUUUUACAGGAACUAUUUGAAAACUGUCAUCCACUGUAUAUUUUAAAGGCAAGACAUAAUUCAGACAUCUGAUUGACUGCCCUUGAACACUGAUUUUUGCUCUAAGACUUUAAUUUUUCAGAAACCUUGAUUUAAGAACUUUUUGAAGGCAUCAUAUAUUGCAUUCAUCACUCUUAGUGGAUUAUUUCUGCUGCCUUAGCUGCACCAGCUUUGUGGGGACAAUAUGGCAGAAGGAGGAAUGUUAAGCUCUGUCAGAGAAGUGGAAAAGUCACCUCUGUAAAUUCAGGAUUGCUUAAGAAUUGUCUUCCCUCUUCAUUUGGAAGUACAAGAGGUGCCCCUGGUCCCGAGCAGUUCAGUGGAAGCUGCACACUGGAGGUUUGAUGGAAGAGAAGGCUGGAGAGCAACAUGUGCCUGGGAGGAGAGGAGAUGUCUGUGUACUUCCCUUCACCUGUUUUCUGACAAGGAAUAAUUAUACUCCAAACAGAAAUUAAGCAAGUAGUUUCAGCAUGCAUGUUUUGUUUCCUUUAAGACAGGGUAUAGCUGUAAUGUGCUCUGCAUUUCCAAGUACUGGCAUUUUUACAUAGGUAAGAAAUACUCAAGUCUGAAAUACGCUUUACAGCUUCUUACAGAAACUCAAGCCAAUUUUAGAAUGUUACCAUGUUAUUGCAAGCCAAAAGCAUUGGCAAUCAAAGGUGUUUUUAAAGCCAUUAGCUCCAGUUUAAUUGACUUGUUUUAGUUUUUCUCUUUGAUAACAUGUUGUUUUUGAGGAAAUGAAAUCACAGACAGUUUGGAGGGCAGGACUGACUCAGGCAUAGUGAGAAAAACUAUAACACCACUGUUUAGUCUUUGAGUCUGAAAUGAAAUCAUAACCCUUUAUUUCCAUAAAUGUUUCUCUUCACAGAUGUACUGGGAGAGGGUAAUUCUGUACCUUGAAAUGUGUAGACAACUGAGGAUGACAAAACCUGAAAACAAAUGUCCUGAAAAGAAUUUAUUACCAGGCAUUAAAACAGGACAUGCUCACUGAUGCUCAAAGAAACACUGACACCAGAAUUGAAUUACUGAUGGGCUGAAUUGGAGGACCACUUGACCAGGUCGUGCUGGAGCAGCCUGCCAGUGAAUGGGUGGAUGUGCAGCUGUGCAAGGGCAGAGCACUUUGGUCUUGCCAAAUGUAUUUCUUGUGUGCACCCCUAGAAAAACAAAGCAAUUUUUUCUGCCAAAUACUCUGCUGCAUAAAAGCUCCAGGAUCUUUACCCUCAUGGUGAAGUGAGGGCUGGAGAAGGGGUCUUGGCAUCUGAGCCCAUUGCCAUGGCCUCAGAGGGAUGUGCUCAGAGGAGCCAAGCCAGGCUCCUGCAGCUCCUGGCUCCAGCCCUCCACACCUGGAGCUUGGCAUAAAUGGGAAUUCUCCUUUUCUACAUGGCAGGCCAGCCUGGUGCUUCUGCUCGAGUCAAACCCAGUUGUCUUCUUGGGAAGUGAAAGAAUCAGACUGUAGAAUUUAACCUUGAACUUUACAUUUUAGUAAUGGAGCCAGUCAACUCCAAAAAAAGAUAUUUAUUCAGUAUAGGAUUGAGGUAUGUAGGUUUAAUACAGAAUUUAUCUGUCUGUGAAUAAGGAUGUAAAACAACACUUCAAGUUGAUCAUUACUAUUUUUACCACAUACCUCCCUUGCCCUGAAACUCCAUUUCAUUUUAAUCUGAAACAACAUUUUUCUUCUCCUUUUGUCACAUGACCUGGAAAAUCCAUUAUCAACCAAAUAUAAGCUAUCCAAAAUACGUGUAACUUCUGUCUAGAAAACUAAUUUAGGCUUUUAUGCCAUCAGUCCAGAGUUUCAGACCAUUUGUGGUACUCUUCCUUUCAUACUUAUGAUUUGCUCUGUUCUACAGCCUGAAAUAUGAUAAUCUGGUCAAAACAGAAAUGCAAAAGAGGACAAUUUUUACAACCAGAUUUAAAGCUUCUGUUUUGUGCUACAAACAAAAAGUAAAGAAGGUGUGCUGUAUUAAUUUCUUCUUUUCUAGAAGCACCAGCAAAAAAAGGGAGCGGGGAAAAGAAAUCUGUAACAGAAAAACAUAGAUCAACAUCAGCAUUUGUUGAUUUUUAGGCUUUAUUUCCUUUUAGUUUUUAAACUACGAUUUUCAAACCAUUCACUUGGAGAAAUUUGCAUUUUAUGUGAACCAAAUGUGAUGUGAUUUUAGGUAACUUACCUAUUUUUCCUCAGUUUGUGGCAUCUAAAACCAACCGUGCUUGUCAUCAUCUCAGUAAUUUCUCAUCAUUGAAGUUAAAAUAUAAUCUAAGUUUUCACCAAAUGAGCUGUUCCAAGAUGAGUUUGCCAAACUCUGUAUUGCUGUGGGAUUUCUGCAAUUAUGAUUAGAUGCAAACAAAAAUGUUCUCUGGAAUACCAGUGAAUACAACAUUGAUUAGCUUCUCUCAAUCCCACAAGGGGUUAGGAGAAGCACAACUUGCAUUUUGUCUCUGUGUCUCUGUCUCUGCCAACCACAGUUGUGCUGGCAGAUCAGCACAAUGAAAAGGGGACGAAGGGAGGAGAAGCAAGGACCCGAUGGAGGACUUUUAUAUUACUAGGUGCUGAUGUGCUUUAGGAUGUUGGUACUCACCAGAAGUCUCAAACUGAUGAAUUGAUUGUGUAGCUGCAUCCCAUCCAGAGGACAGAAAUCAGCAGUACAAGAGUCUGUGUGUGAUUUUACUGCCCCCCAUGUUUAUUUUAGCUGAUUAUUGGUUCUCCCACCAAAAUGUGAAAUAAACAGGCAAAGGCAGCAUUUGUCUUAGUCUUGCCUGAGAAAUUCCCAAUGGCAAAUAGAAGCAUAUUUCCAUUAUCUAUCAGUGGAUUUUACAUUUCUGCUCCACAAACCAUUCUGCACCUGGAAAAAGCUCCCCAUUUGAGCAGUUUCUCUAGCAAGGCUGUUUGUUUAAGGCUGUUUGCUGCAUUAAGGCAAAAUUAGGAUUUUUGUCUGAUUUUAAUUAAUCCCAAACAGUGAUUCCCUUUCUGCUGUUGGCCAGUGAAGAGAAACAGGUAAACAGUCAAUAUGUUGUAUAUUUUUGCUCUUUUGCAGAAAUAUCAUGCCUACUGCAGGAAGAUGUUACCUGUGCUGUAAAACUGUCGUGUUUUUCUUAGGGGAAGAAAUUAUUUUCCCAUCCAUAUACCUAUGCAGAGCAGUUAGUCUUCUUAUACUCUGUACAUGCAAAAUGCUUAAUAAUUUUAUCUUCAGCUUUCAAGCAUAAAAGUGAGAAACUUACCCUACUCCAAACUUAACUACUUGUGUAUGUUGUUGAUAUCAAAUAAGAUUACUGCUUGGAAGA